This 403-nucleotide ribosomal RNA is filed under the name uncultured bacterium. RNAcentral's name for it is "partial 16S ribosomal RNA". It matches the Rfam family "Bacterial small subunit ribosomal RNA", at positions 30 to 526 of the family's 1533-position model. The record is from RNAcentral.
AUUGAACGCUGGCGGCAGGCCUAACACAUGCAAGUCGAGCGAGCGGCGGACGGGUGAGGAAUGUAUGGGGACUGCCCGAUAGAGGGGGAUAACUACUGGAAACGGUAGCUAAUACCGCAUACUAUCGGAUAACCUAUAUGGGAUUAGCUAGUAGGUGAGGUAAUGGCCCACCUAGGCGACGAUCCCUAGCUGGUCUGAGAGGAUGAUCAGCCACACUGGGACUGAGAAACGGCCCAGACUCCUACGGAGGCAGCAGUGGGGAAUAUUGGACAAUGGGCGAAAGCCUGAUCCAGCCAUGCCGCGUGUAUGAAGAAGGCCUUAGGAUUGUAAAGUACUUUCAGUCGGGAGGCGUUACCGACAGAAGAAGCACCGGCUAACUACGUGCCAGCAGCCGCGGUAAUUC